CAGCCGCCGCGGGAAAACGUAGGUGGCAAGCGUUGUCCGGAAUUAUUGGGCGUAAAGGGCUCGCGGGCGGUUUCUUAAGUCUGAUGUGAAAGCCCCCGGCUCAACCGGGGAGGGUCAUUGGAAACUGGGAAACUUGAGUGCAGAAGAGGAGAGUGGAAUUCCACGUGUAGCGGUGGAAUGCGUAGAGAUGUGGAGGAACACCAGUGGCGAAGGCGACUCUCUGGUCUGUAACUGACGCUGAGGAGCGAAAGCGUGGGGAGCGAACAGGAUUAGAUACCCGCGUAGUCCCUGUCUCUUAUAC
RNAcentral lists this ribosomal RNA (301 nucleotides) under uncultured bacterium. RNAcentral's name for it is "partial 16S ribosomal RNA". It matches the Rfam family "Bacterial small subunit ribosomal RNA", at positions 509 to 807 of the family's 1533-position model. The record is from RNAcentral.